GACAGAGGGUGCAAACGUUGUUCGGAAUUACUGGGCGUAAAGCGUGCGUAGGUGGUUCGUUAAGUCUGUCGUGAAAGCCCCGGGCCCAACCUGGGAAUGGCGAUGGAUACUGGCGGGCUAGAGUGCGGUAGAGGAGAGUGGAAUUCCCGGUGUAGCAGUGAAAUGCGUAGAGAUCGGGAGGAACAUCAGUUGCGAAGGCGGCUCUCUGGACCAGCACUGACACUGAGGCACGAAAGCGUGGGGAGCAAACAGG
Molecule: ribosomal RNA, 253 nt
Filed under: uncultured bacterium
Lineage: Bacteria
Description: partial 16S ribosomal RNA
Rfam family: Bacterial small subunit ribosomal RNA
Source: RNAcentral